UCAAACUUGGUCAUUUAGAGGAAGUAAAAGUCGUAACAAGGUUUCCGUAGGUGAACCUGCGGAAGGAUCAUUACUGAGUUAGGGUUCCCUCUUCGGGGCCCGAUCUCCCAACCCUGUGUCUAACAUACCUUGUUGCUUCGGCGGACCGGUUGACCAACUGGUCUCACCGCCGGGGUGGCUCAGCCGCCCUGGAGAGCGUCCGCCGACGGCCUACCACAGAACUCUUGUACCUAAACUUGUCGUCUGAAUUUUGAUUGAUAAAUAUAAACCAAAACUUUCAACAACGGAUCUCUUGGUUCUGGCAUCGAUGAAGAACGCAGC
RNAcentral lists this unclassified non-coding RNA (321 nucleotides) under uncultured fungus. Its description in RNAcentral is "partial contains small subunit ribosomal RNA, internal transcribed spacer 1, and 5.8S ribosomal RNA". The stretch from base 1 to 73 matches the Rfam family "Eukaryotic small subunit ribosomal RNA", at positions 1759 to 1831 of the family's 1831-position model. Lineage: Eukaryota; Fungi. The record is from RNAcentral.